This 429-nucleotide ribosomal RNA is filed under the name Pseudomonadota bacterium. RNAcentral's name for it is "Proteobacteria bacterium partial 16S ribosomal RNA". It matches the Rfam family "Bacterial small subunit ribosomal RNA", at positions 355 to 776 of the family's 1533-position model. The record is from RNAcentral. Lineage: Bacteria; Pseudomonadati; Pseudomonadota.
UGGGGAAUAUUGGACAAUGGGCGAAAGCCUGAUCCAGCCAUGCCGCGUGUGUGAAGAAGGUCUUCGGAUUGUAAAGCACUUUAAGUUGGGAGGAAGGGCAGUAAGCGAAUACCUUGCUGUUUUGACGUUACCGACAGAAUAAGCACCGGCUAACUCUGUGCCAGCAGCCGCGGUCAUACAGAGGGUGCAAGCGUUAAUCGGAAUUACUGGGCGUAAAGCGCGCGUAGGUGGUUCGUUAAGUUGAAUGUGAAAGCCCCGGGCUCAACCUGAGAACUGCAUCCAAAACGGGCGAGCUAGAGUAGGGCAGAGGGUGGUGGAAUUUCCUGUGUAGCGGUGAAAUGCGUAGAUAUAGGAAGGAACACCAGUAGCGAAGGCGACCACCUGGGCUCAUACUGACACUGAGGUGCGAAAGCGUGGGGAGCAAACAGG